This is a long non-coding RNA of Apis mellifera (honey bee), 459 nucleotides long. RefSeq lists it as uncharacterized. The transcript is spliced from 2 exons. The record is from RefSeq and is a predicted model, not a curated record. Lineage: Eukaryota; Metazoa; Arthropoda; Insecta; Hymenoptera; Apidae.
CGUCGGGCAACGGCGGAUGGCAACGGGGCCUCUGCUGCCGACCCCUGAACGACCGGUGCAGAUUCAACACCACGUCGCAGAACACGUAGCGCACCAGCAACAGUCGUAGGAAAUCGUCGCCGAAGAAUUGCAACACGCUGGUCUCUGCGUGGACCGGAAUGCCCGUGAUAAGUUUAUCUCUCGACCUCGAUGCAGAAGAAGGGUUAAGAAACUUCUCGCUGGGAUUACGUAAGCGUUGAUAACCCUUGUACCAGAUAGAGGGGGAGGGGUGGAAUCCCGCUAAGGUAUCUCUCUCCCUUGGCUGAAUCUUUUCGAUUCUCCAAAUUCAACGCCGUCCAAGUCUUAUCCGCGUGAAAAACGAGCCACCCCUCCCUCUCUCUCUCUCUUCUCUGGAUAAUAAAAUAAUCAAAUUUUCAUCGUCAAAAAAAUUUGUAAGAAGAAUUUGUCAAAAGUGGAAAA